RNAcentral lists this ribosomal RNA (253 nucleotides) under uncultured bacterium. RNAcentral describes it as "partial 16S ribosomal RNA". It matches the Rfam family "Bacterial small subunit ribosomal RNA", at positions 524 to 776 of the family's 1533-position model. The record is from RNAcentral.
UACGUAGGGGGCAAGCGUUGUCCGGAAUCAUUGGGCGUAAAGAGCGUGUAGGCGGCCCGAUAAGUCCGCCGUGAAAGCCCAGGGCUCAACCCUGGGAUGCCGGUGGAUACUGUCGGGCUAGAGUUCGGAAGAGGCAAGUGGAAUUCCUGGUGUAGCGGUGAAAUGCGCAGAUAUCAGGAGGAACACCUAUGGCGAAGGCAGCUUGCUGGGACGACACUGACGCUGAGACGCGAAAGCGUGGGGAGCAAACGGG